Triticum aestivum (bread wheat) is the source of this 127-nucleotide non-coding RNA. Lineage: Eukaryota; Viridiplantae; Streptophyta; Magnoliopsida; Poales; Poaceae. The record is from Rfam.
AUGGUACUCCGGUCGAUCCAUAUUGCUUGUCUUAGAUUUGUCUAGAUACAGAUGUACCUAGACAUGUUAGACACAUCCGUAUCUAGACAAAUUUAAAACAAGUAAUAUGGAUCGGAGGGAGUACAAA